This 93-nucleotide transfer RNA is filed under the name Megaselia scalaris. RNAcentral describes it as "tRNA-Tyr for anticodon GUA". It matches the Rfam family "tRNA". From Rfam's summary of the family: Transfer RNA (tRNA) molecules are approximately 80 nucleotides in length. Their secondary structure includes four short double-helical elements and three loops (D, anti-codon, and T loops). The record is from Rfam by way of RNAcentral. Lineage: Eukaryota; Metazoa; Arthropoda; Insecta; Diptera; Phoridae.
CCUUCGAUAGCUCAGUUGGUAAAGCGGUGGACUGUAGAAGAAGCUUUGCGAGAAGAAAUCCAUAGGUCGCUGGUUCAAAUCCGGCUCGAAGGA